RNAcentral lists this ribosomal RNA (608 nucleotides) under uncultured bacterium. RNAcentral describes it as "bacterial SSU rRNA". The stretch from base 1 to 535 matches the Rfam family "Bacterial small subunit ribosomal RNA", at positions 338 to 873 of the family's 1533-position model. The record is from RNAcentral.
CCUACGGGAGGCAGCAGUAGGGAAUAUUGGACAAUGGACGCAAGUCUGAUCCAGCCAUCCCGCGUGAAGGAUUAAGGCCCUAUGGGUUGUAAACUUCUUUUCUUUGGGAAUAAAAAGCGGUAUUCAUAUCGCCUUGAAGGUACCAGAGGAAUAAGCACCGGCUAACUCCGUGCCAGCAGCCGCGGUAAUACGGAGGGUGCAAGCGUUAUCCGGAUUCACUGGGUUUAAAGGGUGCGUAGGUGGCUUUGUAAGUCAGCGGUGAAAGCCUGGAGCUCAACUCCAGAAUUGCCAUUGAUACUGCAGAGCUUGAAUCAAGUUGAGGUGGAUGGAAUAUUACAUGUAGCGGUGAAAUGCUUAGAUAUGUAAUAGAACACCGAUUGCGAAGGCAGUUCACUAAGCUUGUAUUGACACUGAGGCACGAAAGCGUGGGGAUCAAACAGGAUUAGAUACCCUGGUAGUCCACGCCCUAAACGAUGCAAACUCGACAUUAGCGAUAUACAGUUAGUGUCCAAGCGAAAGCGUUAAGUUUGCCACCNGGAGUACGACGCGAGUAGUAACGACGAAGAAGUAGACGCGNGAGAGAGCGACGACGACGACGAGGGAGGAGG